GUUGCAGCUCGUCUGAAACAAGAAUCUCUCUCUCGUAACUCCUACACCUUCGACCCUGUCGCCAUGCCUUACUAUGCCCCCACACCUAAGGGUGAUAAUGCUGACCAUUCUGCACACCCUGGCAAUCACCCUUGGGAUCCUAACUCUGAUUCUCACAGA
This 159-nucleotide non-coding RNA is filed under the name Paramoeba aestuarina. Lineage: Eukaryota; Discosea; Flabellinia; Dactylopodida; Paramoebidae. The record is from RNAcentral.